UACGAAGGGAGCUAGCGUUGUUCGGAAUCACUGGGCGUAAAGCGCACGUAGGCGGAUUUGCAAGUCAGGGGUGAAAUCCCGGGGCUCAACCUCGGAACUGCCUUUGAUACAGCAAGUCUUGAGUUCGAGAGAGGUGGGUGGAAUUCCUAGUGUAGAGGUGAAAUUCGUAGAUAUUAGGAAGAACACCGGUGGCGAAGGCGGCCCACUGGCUCGACACUGACGCUGAGGUGCGAAAGCGUGGGGAGCAAACAGG
RNAcentral lists this ribosomal RNA (253 nucleotides) under uncultured bacterium. Its description in RNAcentral is "partial 16S ribosomal RNA". It matches the Rfam family "Bacterial small subunit ribosomal RNA", at positions 524 to 776 of the family's 1533-position model. The record is from RNAcentral.